This 18-nucleotide ribosomal RNA is filed under the name Graphium scolytodis. RNAcentral describes it as "partial 28S ribosomal RNA". The record is from RNAcentral. Lineage: Eukaryota; Fungi; Ascomycota; Sordariomycetes; Microascales; Graphiaceae.
GUGACCUCGGAUCAGGAG